RNAcentral lists this ribosomal RNA (253 nucleotides) under uncultured prokaryote. RNAcentral describes it as "partial 16S ribosomal RNA". It matches the Rfam family "Bacterial small subunit ribosomal RNA", at positions 524 to 776 of the family's 1533-position model. The record is from RNAcentral.
AACGUAGGUGGCGAGCGUUAUCCGGAUUGACUGGGCGUAAAGGGUGUGCAGGCGGCUUCUCAAGUGGUGUAUGAAAUCGCCCGGCUCAACCGGGCGGGGUUAUGCCAGACUGGGGAGCUAGAGCGUGGGAGAGGGUGGUGGAAUUCCGGGUGUAGUGGUGAAAUGCGUAGAGAUCCGGAGGAACCCCAGAGGCGAAGGCGGCCACCUGGCCCACGACUGACGCUGAUGCGCGAAAGCCAGGGGAGCGAACGGG